This is a long non-coding RNA of Ictalurus furcatus (blue catfish), 839 nucleotides long. RefSeq lists it as uncharacterized. The transcript is spliced from 2 exons. NCBI's taxonomy places the organism in Eukaryota, Metazoa, Chordata, Actinopteri, Siluriformes, Ictaluridae. The record is from RefSeq and is a predicted model, not a curated record.
CCAUUCAAAUUCCCAGCCUUCAGUCUCUCUUUAUUUAUUUAUUUUUUUUUAGAUGUAGAUGUUUCACAGGCUGGGCAGCAGCUGUGGGGGCACAGGUGGCAUGUGGCCUGGUGUAAGAUCAGAACACAUCAACCAGCCAGAACUGAGAGUGGUCAAGCUGGUCCUCAAGUGCUCUUAAACAGUUCAGAGACAUCACCCCCCCCCCAUAAUGUCAAGCAUUGUGAUGGUCAGCUACAUCAACCAUCAGAGUGGCAUGAAACCGCACUACCGUAUCUGCCUUGAAGGAAAUCUGCUCAGGAAGGCAAGAAUGCAGCUGGACAGUAUCCAAUCCUCAGACCAGCUGUUCAUCUGUCAUGACAGAAGGACACAGUGGGCUCCUUCUCUAAGCAGAUUCUUGCCGCAACAACACAAUUCCUCAUAACAUUGUUUGUAUACAUGAUCUAGGUGAUUCUCCUAGCCCCUGGUAGUUAGGAGGGUUUAUUGAUUUCUUUACUACAAACUAUAGUGAAAUGUUUUGUAUGUUAGAUACUGUAUCAUAGGUGUUUAUUGUUGUAUCCCAAACUCAGCUUAACAACUCAAAAGAUAAUAGACACAAUAUAAUUUAGAGUAGAGAUACUGUAACUGUCAAUAAUUCACCACAUCUAACAAGGUGACGUGUUUCAUUUGAAUUGUUUGUUACUGAAGAAAACAAACUGAAUGCCACCAGAAAACACACUUCCUUGAUUCUCACCAAACAUCCUCACACAAGCCCUUCGCAUUCUAAUCAUGCAAACCUGUUGCCAAUGUACUGUUGUCAUUGUCUGUACAGAUCUUCCUCAGUCAGUUUGUUUCAUUGCUAA